Molecule: ribosomal RNA, 317 nt
Filed under: uncultured eukaryote
Lineage: Eukaryota
Description: partial 18S ribosomal RNA
Rfam family: Eukaryotic small subunit ribosomal RNA
Source: RNAcentral
CCCUUAGAUGUCCUGGGCCGCACGCGUGCUACACUGACGCAUACAACGAGUAUUUCCAGCUCCGAGAGGUAGCUGGUAAUCAGCAAUAUGCGUCGUGAUGGGGAUUGAUCUUUGGAAUUGUGGAUCAUGAACGAGGAAUGCCUAGUAAGCGCAGUUCAUCAAACUGCGUUGAUUAAGUCCCUGCCCUUUGUACACACCGCCCGUCGCUCCUACCGAUUUCGAGUGGUCCGGUGAACCUUUCGGACUGAGAGUGGCCUCGAGUCGCUUUUAGAAAGUCAAGUAAACCACNUNACUUAGNGGAAGGAGAANUCGUANCA